GUGAACGGGCGCCAUCCCGAGGCUU
RNAcentral lists this non-coding RNA (25 nucleotides) under Callithrix jacchus (white-tufted-ear marmoset). Lineage: Eukaryota; Metazoa; Chordata; Mammalia; Primates; Cebidae. RNAcentral also lists the same sequence under 2 other names. The record is from RNAcentral.